ACUGAAAUAGUUUGACUUGAGACUAAGUCUUAUGUGUUGUAUAGACUGAUAGGAUUAUGUGAUAAUGUGUUUAGGUUAUUUUAUGCUGUGAUGAUAUUAUUCUAAUAUUUGGAGAUCGGUAUUAUCUGUAUUAGGUCUUCGGAUAAAGCUAAGUUAUUUUUCGUAUCGGUAAUCAACGGAACAGGCAAGUUUGUUUUCUUAACUCUAC
RNAcentral lists this long non-coding RNA (208 nucleotides) under Panax ginseng (ginseng). Its description in RNAcentral is "long non-coding RNA (PGIN_LNC007587)". The record is from RNAcentral. Lineage: Eukaryota; Viridiplantae; Streptophyta; Magnoliopsida; Apiales; Araliaceae.